RNAcentral lists this ribosomal RNA (495 nucleotides) under Streptococcus sp. 'ARUP UnID 623'. Its description in RNAcentral is "bacterial SSU rRNA". It matches the Rfam family "Bacterial small subunit ribosomal RNA", at positions 27 to 506 of the family's 1533-position model. The record is from RNAcentral. Lineage: Bacteria; Bacillati; Bacillota; Bacilli; Lactobacillales; Streptococcaceae.
GGACGAACGCUGGCGGCGUGCCUAAUACAUGCAAGUAGAACGCUGAAGGAGGAGCUUGCUCUUCUGGAUGAGUUGCGAACGGGUGAGUAACGCGUAGGUAACCUGCCUGGUAGCGGGGGAUAACUAUUGGAAACGAUAGCUAAUACCGCAUAACAACAGUUGUUGCAUGACAGCUGUUUAAAAGAUGCAAUUGCAUCACUACCAGAUGGACCUGCGUUGUAUUAGCUAGUUGGUGAGGUAACGGCUCACCAAGGCAACGAUACAUAGCCGACCUGAGAGGGUGAUCGGCCACACUGGGACUGAGACACGGCCCAGACUCCUACGGGAGGCAGCAGUAGGGAAUCUUCGGCAAUGGACGGAAGUCUGACCGAGCAACGCCGCGUGAGUGAAGAAGGUUUUCGGAUCGUAAAGCUCUGUUGUAAGAGAAGAACGAGUGUGAGAGUGGAAAGUUCACACUGUGACGGUAUCUUACCAGAAAGGGACGGCUAACUACGU